RNAcentral lists this unclassified non-coding RNA (879 nucleotides) under Zea mays. RNAcentral describes it as "misc RNA Zm00001eb392240". The record is from RNAcentral. Lineage: Eukaryota; Viridiplantae; Streptophyta; Magnoliopsida; Poales; Poaceae.
CCCCUAGUGCAUCGUUACAUUACAUCCACCUGCCUGCUAUCCUCCUACAGCUAAGCGAAGAAGCUAACACCCUGCCCUGUCCAUCAUCGCCCACGAAUCUCCUGCAGACUCCUCAAUUGUAUCCCUUCAUCUCCAGCAACGCAUGAGAAUACCUCUAUGCCCUGUCCAUCGCCGGCAUGCUUGAGCAGCAGACACAGACAGCUUCAGGUGAAGUGCCUGCUGCCGUCCUUCCCAGCCUCAACACUCCGAGGGCGUCACGUCAGCUCCUGUUGUGAAUCGGGUCCGAGCCCCGCCGGACCUUCCACUUGCUCGUCUGCGCCGCGCCAACGGCCGUCGCCGUGACGAGCCGCUUCCCUGUCCAAGAGCUGCCGCCGCCGCCGCCGCCUGCCGCGGGUGCCUCUGCUGGCGUCGGCGCCCGAUCACGGCCGAGGACCACGUCCUCUCUCCUCAGGCCGCUCACCACGGCAGCAGGGUGUGCCGCCAGGAGGCAGACAAAGGCCGAUAUGGCGAACAGCCUUGACCACCUUCUUGCGCUCGCCAUGCUGCUGCUGCUGCUGCCGCCGCUCAGCUGGAGACAUGCAGCUUGUGCUGCCUGCUGCUGUGCUUUGGCUCUAGCGGCUUGGUUGAUGCAGUACAAUCAUCAGUCACAGCACUGUCCUGUCUGUAGAUAUAGCACAACAACCCCAAGGCCACGCCGGGUCCCAAAGCACAACAAAGGGGCAAGGGACGGCACGACAUGUCUAAGGCUGCUCAUAGAAGGUUCUGAGACCCUGACAGGUACAUUUUGCAAAAGCCAUUGGAGGACUGGAUGGCCAUGUAGGGCACAACCAGAGCACCAGCAAAGAACCAACCAAGCCCUUGCUUUAGACCUCUGUUUGU